AAGGUAUUAGUAAAAAUAUUACCCUGUCUUGUCAAGACAAAAUUGUAGGUUAAACUCCUGCAUACCUUA
RNAcentral lists this transfer RNA (69 nucleotides) under Ariopsis seemanni (Tete sea catfish). RNAcentral's name for it is "tRNA-Asp". It matches the Rfam family "tRNA". Rfam says of the family: Transfer RNA (tRNA) molecules are approximately 80 nucleotides in length. Their secondary structure includes four short double-helical elements and three loops (D, anti-codon, and T loops). The record is from RNAcentral. Lineage: Eukaryota; Metazoa; Chordata; Actinopteri; Siluriformes; Ariidae. RNAcentral also lists the same sequence under 1 other name.